UCCUGUGAUCUUAAUUCUCACAAUGGGAUUGGGUUUGGAAAUAGUUACUAUCAUGUUUCCAAUGAAACCAAAACCUGGCCUAAAAGUUACACUGCCUGUGUAGAACUGAAUUCUCGUCUUCUGAAGAUACAGACCCAAGAAUUGCUGGAUCUCUUAUCAACAUUUGGAAUGUCGGGAUGGAUAGAUCAUAAAAUGUGUGAAAUUGAUUGGUUCCCGUUAAUGAAAAAUUGUACCAAAAUGAAUGAAAGUCAAGUUCAAUUGAUGAAAAAGAAGAACAAGAAUUGUGCUUAUAUCAGUGGAAAGUACAUUUAUCCUGAAAACUGUUCAUCUAGGAAAUUUUACAUAUGCGAGUUUAAUAUACAGCAACAUCUGCUUUACUAACACAAUAUUAUUAAAUCCUAAUAAAAUAUUUACAAAA
Molecule: non-coding RNA, 418 nt
Organism: Marmota flaviventris (yellow-bellied marmot)
Lineage: Eukaryota; Metazoa; Chordata; Mammalia; Rodentia; Sciuridae
Source: RefSeq, a predicted model, not a curated record